CAGAAUUCUAAACCUAUCUCUUCUUUCUUACACUCUCCUUUUAUUAUUCAAUUAGUCUCUUCCUUCUCUUGUUAGGACAAAUCUAAAAAUAGUAAGAACAUAUCCGAUUUUAGGAUAAGAGCCUAGGAAGAGAUUUAAGGAAGACAAGGAGAGAAGAAAGAUUGGGAUAGGAAGGCUAGGAGGAGAGAAAGAAGGUCUUG
Molecule: long non-coding RNA, 200 nt
Filed under: Elaeis guineensis (African oil palm)
Lineage: Eukaryota; Viridiplantae; Streptophyta; Magnoliopsida; Arecales; Arecaceae
Description: long non-coding RNA (EGUI_LNC051222)
Source: RNAcentral